UUAAGUUCAGCGGGUAUUCCUACCUGAUCCGAGGUCAACUAUCAGAAGUUGGGGUUUCACGGCGUGGCCGCGCCGCUCUCCGAUGCGAGGUGUGCUACUACGCAGGGGAGGCUGCAGCGAGACCGCCACUGUAUUUCGGGGACGGCGCCGCGCCAGGGCGGGCCGAUCCCCAACACCAGUCCCCGGGGGGGCUGAGGGUU
Molecule: unclassified non-coding RNA, 200 nt
Filed under: Stachybotryaceae sp.
Lineage: Eukaryota; Fungi; Ascomycota; Sordariomycetes; Hypocreales; Stachybotryaceae
Description: Stachybotriaceae sp. partial internal transcribed spacer 2
Source: RNAcentral